RNAcentral lists this ribosomal RNA (253 nucleotides) under uncultured bacterium. Its description in RNAcentral is "partial 16S ribosomal RNA". It matches the Rfam family "Bacterial small subunit ribosomal RNA", at positions 524 to 776 of the family's 1533-position model. The record is from RNAcentral.
UACGAAGGGGGCUAGCGUUGUUCGGAAUUACUGGGCGUAAAGGGUGCGUAGGCGGUCGGGUAAGUCUGAUGUGAAAUCUCACAGCUUAACUGUGAAACUGCAUUGGAUACUAUCCGGCUCGAGGAAUGGAGGGGAGACUGGAAUGCUUGGUGUAGCAGUGAAAUGCGUAGAUAUCAAGUGGAACACCAGUGGCGAAGGCGAGUCUCUGGACAUUUCCUGACGCUGAGGCACGAAAGCCAGGGGAGCAAACGGG